UACCAGCUCUCCGAGUGGUAGGGAUGUUUAUUGGGCCUAAAGCGUCCGUAGCCGGCUUAGCAAGUCUCCUGUUAAAUUCAGCGACCUAAUCGUUGAGCCGCGGGAGAUACUACUAGGCUAGGAGGCGGGAGAGGUCAACGGUACUUCCGGGGUAGGGGUGAAAUCCUAUAAUCCCGGGAGGACCACCAGUGGCGAAGGCUGUUGACUAGAACGCGCUCGACGGUGAGGGACGAAAGCUGGGGGAGCGAACCGGAUUAGAUACCCGGGUAGUCCCAGCUGUAAACGAUGCGAGCUAGGUGUUGGGGUGGCUACGUGCCACUUCAGCGCCGCAGGGAAGCCAUUAAGCUCGCCGCCUGGGGAGUACGGCCGCAAGGCUGAAACUUAAAGGAAUUGGCGGGGAGCACCACAAGGCGUGAAGCUUGCGGUUC
RNAcentral lists this ribosomal RNA (428 nucleotides) under uncultured archaeon. RNAcentral's name for it is "bacterial SSU rRNA". It matches the Rfam family "Archaeal small subunit ribosomal RNA", at positions 474 to 903 of the family's 1478-position model. The record is from RNAcentral.